UGGUUCUGGCAUCGAUGAAGAACGCAGCGAAAUGCGAUAAGUAAUGCGAAUUGCAGAAUUCCGUGAGUCAUCGAAUCUUUGAACGCAUAUUGCGCCCUCUGGUAUUCCAGGGGGCAUGCCUGUCCGAGCGUCAUUACGUCUCUCAAGCACGGCUUGUAGUUAGGUCUAACCGUGGUCUCCGGGCCGGGUGGGUCUCAAAGAUAACGAUGGUGCCUGGGGGGGUCCAAACGCAACGAGCUUGAUCGCACGCGCUUGGGCGCCUCGGGGCCCGUCUUCCACCAUUUCUAAGGUUGACCUCGGAUCAGGUAGGGAUACCCGCUGA
This 322-nucleotide unclassified non-coding RNA is filed under the name uncultured fungus. Its description in RNAcentral is "partial contains 5.8S ribosomal RNA and internal transcribed spacer 2". The stretch from base 1 to 133 matches the Rfam family "5.8S ribosomal RNA", at positions 22 to 154 of the family's 154-position model. The record is from RNAcentral. Lineage: Eukaryota; Fungi.